This 1558-nucleotide long non-coding RNA is filed under the name Strigops habroptila (Kakapo). RNAcentral's name for it is "lncRNA (ENSSHBG00005015711.1)". The record is from RNAcentral. Lineage: Eukaryota; Metazoa; Chordata; Aves; Psittaciformes; Psittacidae.
UCCUUGUCCAUGCACGUGAGCCUCCUGCCAUCUUUGCUUGCCUUCCUGCACAUGGGGAUGGACCAUUCUUGAGCUUGUAGGAGAUGAACCUUGAAAAUCAACCAGCUGUCCUGGACCACCUCCCACAUCAAUCUUUCUGUAUCAUUGAGGACAGUGGGAGGCCAAACAUGCCUGGCUAAAAAUUACUUUUGUUGCAGCUGCCCUGACAUAGACUGCAACCUCAACACUCACACGUAUCAUUUAUUAAACAAACCAAUAUCCCUGAUGAACGCUGAAGUCUUUCUAUAUACCACUAUCCUUACUUCCAGUGAUUUCAGACAUGCAGCCUCCCCUUCUUUUCCAACAAAUAAACAUAUUAAAAUAACUUGUUAUCUUUUACAUAAAAUAUUCCAGGAAGACUUUUUCCACCUAGCACAUUUUAAUAAGACAAGAACUAUUUUUAAACUACUGAAGAACCAUUCGCUAAACAGAUUAGCAGACCCCUGAAGACACUACAAGAAAAGCCUCCAGUCUUCACUCAACAGCAACCAAGCUUUUCACUAAGGCAGACUGUAUGAAUUUAUUUUAGUAACAAAUAUGCUGUGGCCCCUCUACUACCUUAUUAGUACAUCUGUUAUGCACGCAUAAUUUGAUACAAGUAAAGCAGUCUUCACAAGUAAACUGGGAUGCACUUGUGGGGUAAAUUCAAGUCUUAUUAACAUAUGGCCCAGGACUGUUCUGUCUGAGCAACCUGAUCACUCAGCCUGGAAAUAAGUACCCUCUUUUAAGGAUUUACCUGCAAAAGGGUGGCAUCAGAAGAAUCUGGUAAAUGUGGCUGGCAUACAACUAAUCAACAAACGGGCCACAGGAUAGGCAGGAAAUACAGCGCCUGGGCACAACUGGACAUCUCUAAGAUUAAUUCAUCCACCCACAAUCCACUCCCAAGAGAAAGGUGUGCCCAGGACCGGACCUCGGAUAGAAAAAUUCUAACUGCACAUGCAGCUAGUGACCAGAUCAGUUGUACAACGCAGGUAGAAAAGUAAACUCUUUGUGGCAAGCAUAUCUUUUUGUUGCGCAUACAGUGCACAUGCACAAACAAGGAUGGCCUAUGCCCAGGAGCUAUUAGGUGCUCCUAUAACAAGACAGUAACUUUGCAUGUCCAAGCAUCAUCAUUAAUUCAGACAACUGCAACAGAUUUCUUUCAGAACAGAAUUCCCCAAGACACACAUCAAUCUCUGGAGCUAGAGGUACCUUUGCUAAAUGCAGAAUUUCCUCUCGUCCCUCAGAGUUUUUUGAUGCAGUGCAAGCAUACCUCAAAGGGACCACUGACUUACCACAGAGCACAGAGAAAAUAAAUAUUGAGAGAAGAAACUGAUUAGCUGGUAGAAGUUUGAACUGCGUAGGCACCACAGUAACCAAAAAGGCUAGAAUGAUUAACUGCAUGAUUUCGUGCAAACAAAGCUUUCUAAAGCAGAAAAAAAUCAGCAAGACACUGUCUUAAACGCACCCCAUAAUUUUGUUUUUGUUAUUUCAUUAUUUGAUGCAUUGCAUACUUUGAAGUUUGCUAACACACACAGCU